Molecule: ribosomal RNA, 942 nt
Filed under: Synalpheus cf. streptodactylus KMH-2014
Lineage: Eukaryota; Metazoa; Arthropoda; Malacostraca; Decapoda; Alpheidae
Description: SSU rRNA
Rfam family: Eukaryotic small subunit ribosomal RNA
Source: RNAcentral
UCUGGUGCCAGCAGCCGCGGUAAUUCCAGCUCCAAUAGCGUAUAUUAAAGUUGUUGCGGUUAAAAAGCUCGUAGUCUGAGUUCAGUUCCGGACUGGUCGGGGAGGUCACCGCCCGGUGCUUGCCCGUAUCAGGUUCCGAACCGCCCACCCGCCGCGUGCGGGGGCCAAGCCGGUUCAGCCGGGGUGCUCUUGACCGAGUGUCCCGCGCGGCCGGCCGCUUCACCUUGAACAAAUGAGAGUGCUCAAAGCAGGCUACUCUUGACACUAAAGCCCGAAUGUUAACUGCAUGGAAUGAUGGAAGAUGAUCUCGGUUCCAUUUUGCUGGGCCCCUUUGGGAAUCCGAGUUAAUGAUAAACAGGGACUGUCGGGGGCAUCCGUACUACGACGCGAGAGGUGAAAUUCAGUGACCGUCGUAGGACGAACAACAGCGAAAGCAUUUGCCAAGAAUGUCUUCGUUGAUCAAGAACGAAAGUUAGAGGAUCGAAGGCGAUCAGAUACCGCCCUAGUUCUAACCCUAAACGAUGCUGACCAGCUAUUCGUUAGCGUUAUUCCCAUGACGUGGCGAGACGCCCCCGGGAAACCUCGAGUCUUUGAGUUCCGGGGGUAGUAUGGUUGCAAAACUGAAACUUAAAGGAAUUGACGGAAGGGCACCACCAGGAGUGGAGCCUGCGGCUUAAUUUGACUCAACACGGGAAACCUCACCAGGCCCGGACACCAGAAGGAUUGACAGAUUAAGAGCUCUUUCUCAAUUUGGUGGGUGGUGGUGCAUGGCCGUUCUUAGUUGGUGGAGUGAUUUGUCUGGUUAAUUCCGGUAACGAACGAGACUCUGGCCUACUAACUAGUGGGCGGGUGUUCCGGUAAGGGGCCCCGCCCGACAAAUGUCUUCUUAGAGGGAUGAGCAGCGAGUAUAGCUGCAGGAGAUUGAGCAAUAACAGGUCUGUG